GGCUGAAAGGGAGAGGGUGGUGGGUGGGGCCUGGGCUGAUAUCUAAUGAAAAUUUAAACCCCAGCUAUGGCUAUUACAAAGAAAAGAAAAGUGGCUGAUGAUAAGCAUGUAGCUCCAAAGGACAAUGUAUAUAAAAAUAUGCAAGAAUCAAAGGAAACCCACAUAUCCGAUCACCUGGAUGAAAUUGUUGCUGCUGUCAGCAUUACACCUAGAAAGAAGAUCCAAAACAAGCUGCCUCAGACAGCACUAUUCCAGCCUCCUCGAGAGAAACUCCACCUCUGUGAAGAGAAAGCGAAGUCUUAUUCUAGCAGUCACGAAUAUGAACAGGCUGUCCACGAGCUUGUACGCUGCAUGGCGCUGACGAGAAUUUGCUAUGGUGACUCACACUGGAAACUAGCAGAGGCACAUGUUAAUCUGGCCCAAGGCUACCUCCAGCUGAAAGGACUGUCCCUGCAAGCAAAACAACAUGCAGAAAAAGCCAAAGAAAUCCUCACCAACUCCAUCGUGCCUCCCUAUAACGACAAUACAGAUGUUUUCAAGUGUUCGAUUGAGCUAUUCCAUACCAUGGGGAGAGCCUUACUCUCCCUUCAAAAGUUUAAAGAAGCUUCCGAGAAUUUGACAAAGGCAGAGACACUUGCAAAGGAGCUGCUGCAAUGUGGAAGGAUUGUAAAGGAGGAAUGGAUAGAAAUUCAAGCACGGAUCAAAUUGUCAUUUGCACAGAUGUAUCAAAGUCAGAAGAAAUCAAAAGAAGCCCUGCCCCACUAUCAAGAGGCUUUAGAAUACACUGAGAUCAGUCGAGGUGAAAAAAGUCUUGAAUGUGUACCAAUAUUGAAGGAAUUGGCAGGUGUAGAGCGAGCCCUGGGAGUUCAUGACGCAUCCAUCAACCAUUUUCUACAGGCGCAUCACAUCGUGCUGAGCAGAAACCCCUCUCAAGAAGAGGCAGCAGUCUCUGCACAUUUGGUCGCCCGCGCUGCCGUCGCUUCCGGGGGGAUCGAACACCACGAUGUGGCCAAGCAGUAUUUUCAAGAGAGCAUGGCUAAUCUUAAGGAUGCUGAAGGGAUGGGAAAAGCCAAAUUUCUUUCAAUUCAAGAUGAUUAUUGCCAUUUUCUACAAGUCACCGGACAAAAAGAGAGAGCAAUCUCCAUCCUGAGAGAGUCCCUGGAAGCCAAAGUGGCAGUGUUUGGUGACCUCAGCCCGGAGGUGGCAGAGACAUACCGGCUGUUAGGUGGGGCCGACCUGGCACAGGGGAACCAGAGUGGGGCCCACAAGAAACUAAAGAAGUUGUCCUGGUGAAAGAUGGUGGUAGCUUGCUCCAAGACAGUGGCCAGGGGCUGGAGCAAGGUCGUGGGGGAGUCGAGGGAUGCUGAUAAGGAUGUAGAACCCACGGCACGUGGCAACUCAGAGGAAUGACUGCUAAGGGAAGCAGUGCACAGCGAGCAGCACUCUUGCGGCUACCAAACCUGCCUAGAUUUUGAGGGCGAGGCUUCGUGACACGGCACCCCCCGCGAAGCGUCCUUACCAGAGGUGUCAGUUGCUGACAGAUCCCUGGACCCUGUGGUCCAACCGUGUCUUCAGGCUCCGUAUAAGAACUUCCUCAGUUGAACUGUUUGUCCUCUUGUCUGAUCGUUCAUUCAUCUAGCAAAUAUCGCCCCUACUCACGUGCCAGGGAAUGUUCCGGAACCUGGGGCACGAAGGCGAGCAACACCAAUGUGGCCCCUCUGGGGACAGCUUGCAGGCCAGUGUGGAAGCGGGUGCUACCUCUUGUCUUUCUGCAGGGGGUGGAAAGCUUCUUGUUUGGUAUUUAAGGAAUAAUAGAAACACAAAUGACUUCUCCCAACCCCUGCAGAUAAAAUCAAAGAGCGUAACAGCAAUAUAACAGUUCCCCAAAAUUCAUCUGGAUCCUGGAAAUUCCAGGGUUUUUGUCCACUUAGAGAAAAAUGAGAAGCACCCUGUACAGGCUGAUUUCAAAUAGGAGUGCACUGGCCUUGGAAGAAGAAUCUGGAGAGCACAAAAUACCUUUUAUUUAUGCUAUAGAAUAUUCCACCACCGGGAUUUGGGAUUCUUCACUUAGUUCAGAGAGUUGUUUAAAAUGCCGGGCUCCCGGUAGGUUUAAAUAACAUUUAUUGACUUUGUCUCUGACAGUGUCCAUAUUUUUAACAAAAGAAUCGAAAUAACCUGUUUCACACAAAAAUGCUUAAGCAAAUUUAGCUAAGAGCAGCAGAGCACUGAAAAAUUCAAUUUAUGUUUCUUAGGUAAAUACACAACUAUGUAAAACAUUUCCUAGUAAGGUCAGUAAGGGGGUUAUUUCACUAUUUAAAAUUUUCUGAAUCAGGCUCCUGGCUCUGAGCUGUCAGCACAGAGCUGACGCCAGGCUCGAACCCACAAACUGCGAGAUCAUGACCUGAGCUGAAGUCGAACGCUUAACUGACUGAGGCACCCGGGCGCCCCUCACUAUUUUAAAAAGGUAGCUCUUGAAAACUAUUCCAGCUAGUAGGUGAACCAUUCUUUCCUGAUGUGGUGCCUGGUAUGGUGUCCCUGGGCACUGUCAUCUAAAGGAGAUUAGGUAGGGGCUGAGGACCCAUUUCCCUCUCCUAGUUGGCAUCCCUUUACAUCUCUUCUUGCUUCAGCUAGAACUGGGGGCAAAUCUCCUUAAGGAGGAUAAGUAGCCUUAAAAAAAAACAAAAUCUAUUAAUGCCAGGAAGAGAAGAAUCUUGACUGCCAGGGUCUAGGGAGUAGGGACGGGGAUGGGCUGACCUCUCUCUGGGCCUGAUUAUUGAUUAUGACCUUCUCUCCUACCUCCAGUCUCCCUACACACAUUUUCCCCAGGGACAAUGACCAGCACACAAGGUCUGGAAUGGAGGUGGUUAGUAGAACCAGUGAGAAUUGGUAUAAGCACCGUCAAUUGCCCUGUCCUUGUACCUAGAAAUCUGAAAAAGUUAGCUAAUAGUAUGUUUUUCCCUAGAGAAUGAGGGGCCAGAGAGAAGCUUUAGUAACCCAAAGGGUAGGAUGGAUAUCCCUCCUGAGUUCUGGAUUUCGGAGUCCCUCUGUUAAGGCAGGGUAAACCGAGACCUCAGACCAUCUCAAAUAAUGAUUAUAAUGUCAGUAAAAUGCUAAUGUCUCAGUGAAUGAACUAACGCCGAGACAUCAGCUCAUCUCAAAAUGAGCUGCAAGGGAGGUACUCGUAGAUAUGUAAACAGAGAAGGCAGAUGAGUUUAAAAUGAGACCUGAUCUUUCACACGGAGUUAAGGUAUUUCUGGCCAUGUAGGGGAAAAUGAAGUCUGUCCUGGCAAGAACGUUAGCCCUGGACAGCGGCCUCUCACUGCCAAGCAUGAAUGAGGGGAAAGCCUGCUUGCUUCCUGUUUUCUGUCCCUGCCUGAGCACCUUCCUUGCUGGACCCUGCCUGGAGACGCCCCCAGGCUUCCAGCAGCUGGGAGCCACGUGGGAGAGGAGGGCGGGAAGAGUUUACAUCAAGUGUCCUGGGUGUUGGAAACCUGUCCCCAAAAGCAACACAGAACUUUCUCAGAGUUCCUUAAGUUUCCCAAGUUCACAGCAGUUUAUCCAUGGAUUAAAGCAGAGCUGGCCCAAACCCAUGGAAAGAGCAGCAGGCCAGGCCAGGGCCCCCAGUGUGGAUUCCGAAAGCCUGUGGCUUAUUUGGG
Leopardus geoffroyi (Geoffroy's cat) is the source of this 3656-nucleotide RNA transcript. It is a transcript of the gene named tetratricopeptide repeat domain 23, with no coding region annotated. The transcript is spliced from 11 exons. NCBI's taxonomy places the organism in Eukaryota, Metazoa, Chordata, Mammalia, Carnivora, Felidae. The record is from RefSeq and is a predicted model, not a curated record.